UGGGGAAUUUUGGACAAUGGGGGCAACCCUGAUCCAGCCAUGCCGCGUGUGUGAAGAAGGCCUUCGGGUUGUAAAGCACUUUCGUAUGGAACGAAAUCGCGCGUACGAAUAAUUCGCGUGGAUGACGGUACCGUAAGAAGAAGCACCGGCUAACUACGUGCCAGCAGCCGCGGUAAUACGUAGGGUGCGAGCGUUAAUCGGAAUUACUGGGCGUAAAGCGUGCGCAGGCGGUUUCGCAAGUCAGGCGUGAAAUCCCCGAGCUUAACUUGGGAAUUGCACUUGAAACUACGAGACUGGAGUGUGGCAGAGGGAGGUGGAAUUCCACGUGUAGCGGUGAAAUGCGUAGAGAUGUGGAGGAACACCGAUGGCGAAGGCAGCCUCCUGGGCCAACACUGACGCUCAGGCACGAAAGCGUGGGGAGCAAACAG
This 428-nucleotide ribosomal RNA is filed under the name uncultured bacterium. RNAcentral describes it as "bacterial SSU rRNA". It matches the Rfam family "Bacterial small subunit ribosomal RNA", at positions 355 to 775 of the family's 1533-position model. The record is from RNAcentral.